UGUAUACGAACAAAUUUCGUUUUCUUUACACACAAAUAAUAAUUGUGCAAUGAGAACACUAGAGAAGUACCAGCGUCAAUUUUCUUAUUCUUUUGCUUAAAUGUUUUUCUCUGACAAUGUUAUUAUACGCGAGCUCAAUCUGAUACCCAUUCUCGCAAAUGGAAGCAUACGUGUGGUUGUAUACAAUAAUGAUAAAGCACAAGAUCACGCCCUGAAAGUACUGCUAUCUUUUUGUUUUUACUGGACAACCAGCUGUUCGCAACGUGACGUCAUAAGCGAAAUUAAAGUAAGACAAAAGUUAACUCUGGCAAAAGGAAUUAGCUCGGUUAAAUUAACAUUUCUGAGUUCAAACAGAAAUGUGAAUUGUAGGGCUACAGAAAAGUAACGGUGGAUUUUUACACUUGCACUCAAAAAAGUGGACUCUGCACCUUCGCACUCCAAGCCAAUGAAAUUUUGCACGGGAUUUAUAGUCGUUCGAAAAUUAUGAGGCCGCUGAGCAAAACUCAGCAGCAUUAAUAACUGAAGAUAAUGGAGUUUUUAAAGUGUCUUACAAAGUUAACGAACAGAUCGAAAAGGAUUUCAACAACCGAAAAUGAGUUUUCCGAACCAGUUGAAAGCAACAACACUUUAAUAAAAAGGAAACAACUUCAGUAUGAAUGGCAUUUAAAUCAACAAUGGCUAGAUCUGCAGCCGUAUGUGUGCAAUCAUCUGCUUCAGAGAACACUGCAGGAACACGAUGUUUAGCACCUUUGAUAGUGUUUAUAGAUCGACGCGAGUUUUUAAUGAACAAUUUUUUGCAUUUUUGAUAAAGUUUUAAAACGUCAUAACCGUCCAAUACUAUCUGCUGAGUUGCAGCGUAAACAUCAUUCAUAAUUCCCGCGGAUGUUUCAACAGCAACAGCGCCACAAGCAUUAAUUUCAUCAUGUAAACUGUCCACAACGAUCUGAACCUCAGG
Molecule: long non-coding RNA, 955 nt
Organism: Bactrocera latifrons
Lineage: Eukaryota; Metazoa; Arthropoda; Insecta; Diptera; Tephritidae
Exons: 3
Source: RefSeq, a predicted model, not a curated record